RNAcentral lists this transfer RNA (87 nucleotides) under Minisyncoccota bacterium. Its description in RNAcentral is "tRNA-Ser". It matches the Rfam family "tRNA". Rfam says of the family: Transfer RNA (tRNA) molecules are approximately 80 nucleotides in length. Their secondary structure includes four short double-helical elements and three loops (D, anti-codon, and T loops). The record is from RNAcentral. Lineage: Bacteria; Bacillati; Minisyncoccota.
GGAGAUGUGGCUGAGUGGUUGAAGGCACCUGAUUCGAAACCAGGCAAUGGGGUAACCCGUUCGAGAGUUCAAAUCUCUCCGUCUCCG